This 378-nucleotide ribosomal RNA is filed under the name uncultured bacterium. RNAcentral describes it as "bacterial SSU rRNA". The stretch from base 1 to 141 matches the Rfam family "Bacterial small subunit ribosomal RNA", at positions 413 to 546 of the family's 1533-position model. The record is from RNAcentral.
AGGCUUCGGGUUGUAAACUGCUUUUGUCAGGGAAGAAAUCUUCUGGGUUAAUACCUCGGGAGGAUGACGGUACCUGAAGAAUAAGCACCGGCUAACUACGUGCCAGCAGCCGCGGUAAUACGUAGGGUGCGAGCGUUAAUCGGAAUUACUGGGUCGUAAACGCGUGCGCAGGGCGGGCUUUGCANAGACACGAUGUGACAAUCCCCAGGGGCUCAACCAUGGCGAAACUUGCAAUUCUGGUGAACUUGGCAAAGGGCAAGAAGGUAUCCGGCCACGAAGAGUGGAGAAUCGGCAACUAUCACAGACAGGUGCUAUGACCAAGAUCGUACAAAAUUGGCCGUUUACGCAAUUAAUUGCCCGAGCACGAGUAGAACAAAC